AUUGAACGCUGGCGGCAUGCCUUACACAUGCAAGUCGAACGGUAACGCGGGGCAACCUGGCGACGAGUGGCGAACGGGUGAGUAAUGCAUCGGAACGUGCCCAGUAGUGGGGGAUAGCCCGGCGAAAGCCGGAUUAAUACCGCAUACGACCUACGGGUGAAAGCGGGGGACCGCAAGGCCUCGCGCUAUUGGAGCGGCCGAUGUCAGAUUAGGUUGUUGGUGAGGUAAAGGCUCACCAAGCCGACGAUCUGUAGCUGGUCUGAGAGGACGACCAGCCACACUGGGACUGAGACACGGGCCAGACUCCUACGGGAGGCAGCAGUGGGGAAUUUUGGACAAUGGGCGCAAGCCUGAUCCAGCCAUGCCGCGUGCGGGAAGAAGGCCUUCGGGUUGUAAACCGCUUUUGUCGGGGAAGAAAUCUUCUGGGCUAAUACCCCGGGAGGAUGACGGUACCCGAAGAAUAAGCACCGGCUAACUACGUGCCAGCAGCCGCAGUAA
RNAcentral lists this ribosomal RNA (498 nucleotides) under uncultured bacterium. RNAcentral describes it as "partial 16S ribosomal RNA". It matches the Rfam family "Bacterial small subunit ribosomal RNA", at positions 29 to 523 of the family's 1533-position model. The record is from RNAcentral.